GGAAAAAAGCUAUAUGCGACCACUGCGUGAAGAAGUGAAUCAAUGUAAAGUGUAUAUCUAUAUUAUAUAAAAAGAAUAUUCGCAUGCAUACAUUGUAUAUUUAAAGGUUAAUACUUGGUAUUCAAAUUCUUCCUUGAUUUACCUUUGAGAUGAUUUAUUUAUCUUUAAUACAGCAGUAUUGGCGACUGCUGCACAAGUUGUGUUAUAUACAUAUUGUUUUGAUGUUAUCUUGCCUGCCUCUGAUUGAUGGGAGUUGGUUUUAUUUUUAUUUGGCUUUUUUUCAUUCUGAUCACCAUUUACCUAUUUCACGGUGCUCAUAUUGUUCGUUCACAAUUUUACGCUCCCACCUAUAGAGGCAGCACAUUACUCUAUUUCUUACUAUAUAUAUUUCUCAUUAUUUCCUCCAUAUUCUGUUUAUAUAAUAUAGAUAUACACUUUACAUUGAUUCACUUCUUCAUGUACUGGUCACAUACAGCUUUUUUUCUGUCACUCGGUAGUUUGUUACUUAGCAACAGACAGUAUGAAGCUUGGCGUUGCACAUCAUCACGUCACGGGAG
Molecule: non-coding RNA, 557 nt
Organism: Pelobates cultripes (western spadefoot toad)
Lineage: Eukaryota; Metazoa; Chordata; Amphibia; Anura; Pelobatidae
Source: the annotation of a GenBank genome assembly